Molecule: non-coding RNA, 24 nt
Filed under: Arabidopsis thaliana (thale cress)
Lineage: Eukaryota; Viridiplantae; Streptophyta; Magnoliopsida; Brassicales; Brassicaceae
Source: RNAcentral
UAGAGGAUCUCCCUGCCGUAUGCC